UAACACAUGCAAGUCGAACGCCCUAGCAAUAGGGAGUGGCAGACGGGUGAGUAACGCGUGGGAACCUUCCCGGUGGUACGGAAUAGCCCAGGGAAACUUGGAGUAAUACCGUAUAUUACCCUUCGGGGGAAAGAUUUAUCGCCAUUGGAUGGGCCCGCGUCGGAUUAGCUAGUUGGUGAGGUAAUGGCUCACCAAGGCGACGAUCCGUAGCUGGUCUGAGAGGAUGAUCAGCCACACUGGGACUGAGACACGGCCCAGACUCCUACGGGAGGCAGCAGUGGGGAAUAUUGGACAAUGGGCGAAAGCCUGAUCCAGCAAUGCCGCGUGAGUGAUGAAGGCCUUAGGGUUGUAAAGCUCUUUUACACCGGGAAGAUAAUGACUGUAC
RNAcentral lists this ribosomal RNA (385 nucleotides) under uncultured bacterium. Its description in RNAcentral is "bacterial SSU rRNA". It matches the Rfam family "Bacterial small subunit ribosomal RNA", at positions 49 to 478 of the family's 1533-position model. The record is from RNAcentral.